This 2354-nucleotide long non-coding RNA is filed under the name Taeniopygia guttata (zebra finch). Its description in RNAcentral is "lncRNA (ENSTGUG00000027272.1)". Lineage: Eukaryota; Metazoa; Chordata; Aves; Passeriformes; Estrildidae. The record is from RNAcentral.
GGCAUCAAAUUUAUUCCAAAAUUUCCAUUAAAUAGAAAGUAACGGCGGUGCUUUUACACAGAACUCAGCUCAGUAUAAGUACUGGGGUCUUCUCCCUCCAGAUCUUAAGAACUAUGCAAAUCUGUGCUAUCUUUAAAAAUAAAAUAACGAUAUUUCAAUAAUUAGAAGAAACUAUGAAGGUAUUGUGCAUUUCUGUUUUAUGUAGAUAAUAAAAUAUUACUUUAACAUAAAUAUAUAAGGAUCUCUGCGUUUUUAUUUUUCCCCACAAGCACAUCCAAAUGUACCAAAACAAAGUAUUUUUAAAGAGACUGAACAAAAAAAAAAAUUACAUCCCAUAUAGAUUUUGUUCACCUACUCAUUUAAAGCUACAGAAAAACAGUUUCCAGAAUCUGUUUGCUUUAAAAGAAAUAAAUAUACAUUGAGGCAGGCCACUUAAAAAUGAUAUGAAAAUAUUUCCCUGGGUAGCAUUAAAAAAAAAAAAAAAAGAAAAAUAGACAAAGAAAACAUUGAAACUAUUUCUGCAUUUCAAAGGACAAAUAUUAAACAUAUAUACAUAGUGGUAAGGUUUGCGUGGUAACUUUUUUUUUAGUAAACCUAUUUGGAGUUUGAGGUUUUCUCAAACAUCCUCUCAACUCCGUUGUCUGACCUUACACACAUAUUAAUAAGUGUCUGAAAGUUCAUUUCCUCCCUUUACCACUGGAUCUGCCCUGAUCUGAUUCACUUCACUAGGCGCUAGUCCUCAACACUUUAAAUAACAAGCAGCUCAACACAUAAACAAACAAACAAAAAAUUUUUAAAAACCAAACAAAAUUAAAAAAAAAAAAAAGAAAGAAAAGAGAAAAGCUUGGUGCCCGUAUCUUUUUAACAAUUGUUGGAAAACCAGGAAAAAGGCUAAUGCAUGUGCCUCUUAGAAAUCAUCAUCUGUCUUACCAAGAAGAAAGAAAGAAAGCAAGCAAGAAAGAAAGGGAGAAAGAAAGAAGGAAAGAAAACCCAGUGUCACAGGCAUUUUAAAAGACAAUGAGAAACAUAUUCUAAAGCCUUAGCUACUGAAUGCAAUAUUUAUAGGAGAGUUCUGCGAGAGAAUGCUUCACUGUUUUUUCUCCAUAAUUGUCCAACACUCAACUAAGUAAACUUUUAGAUUAUAAAAAUGCUUUGUCUCUAUAGCACCCGUUUGUGCUGACUAAAUGAUCCCUUUAUGAAUUUAUAACUAUCAUAAAGUUCCUCUAAUGUAUAUGCAUAGCUGUGUGUGUGCAUAAGUAUACAAACACGCACGCAGACACACGCACAUACAUGCGCUGCUCCGAGGUCCCGCUCCUCUGCUUCCCUUCAGAGCUUUUUGUUUUCCUUUUUUUUUCCAUUUUUUUUCCUUUUUGUCCCCGUGGGUUUUUCUCUUUUUUUUUUAUUUUGGAAAGUUAACCAUUUCUCAUCAAGAUAAUGUCACGAAAUGCACUUUAAAACUAUUAGCGAAAGGGGGGGGGGGUGGGAAACACGGAUUGAAAAAUGGCAUUUUUUCCCCCACUUCAUUUCAUUCCCCAGUGAAAGACACAAGGCUGCCCAAGUUAAAACUGGUCCUUUCCUUCAAUAAAUUAUACCACAAUCUGACCAAAGGACAAGGGGAGGAUGGGAAGGGAGAGGGGCUGGAUACAAAUAGAAAAUAAAAUAAAUAUGGAAAGUAAAGAGAAAAAGAAAUGCACACAGUCUCUGUGGAGAGGAGGGGGCAGCGUGUGUUUACAGGCAGGUGUAAGCACCCGACCCCCACCUCGGGCCCAGCAGCUCCUCAGACUCUCCCUGGCUCUGCCUUGAAGUAAAAUUGCUCAAUAAAAGAAAGUUUAGAGGCUGAUAUCGGCCCGGGAGGCGAGACUGGGGAUGCCAAAGGCACGCAGGGGAGCCGCGGUGGGAGGAGGAGGGGAAGGAAAGGGCGCUGAGGGGGCGGUGGUGGGGAAGCUAAAUAAUUCCCUUUCCCCUUCAAGGAAAUGCCACUUUCUCUGGGAAAACUCUGGAAACAUACUGUUCCCUCUCCGCCUUCCCCACACCAGGCCUUGCUUGCCAGCACUGACACGGUCUGGAAGGGUUGCACAUAUUUUUUUCCUCCCCCUUUGGUUGCGCCUCGACCCCUGGACACACUGCCUGAAAAUGAAGUUUACUUUGUUGAUUUGCAUUAUUCUCCCUUCUCCAAACUCGACUCUUGCCAUUGAAGGCAUGUAUUAAACAAUUACGAGAGUCACAUCUCUGAAGAAUGGAAGCUGGAGAUGCAUAUAUAUGUGUAUAUAUAGAGAUUAUAUAUAUAUGUGUAUAUAUGUAUGUCUAUGCACGCGUGCAUAUGUAUACAUACACACACAUAUACUAUUUUUUUU